This is a ribosomal RNA of Ruminococcus sp. CAG:254, 117 nucleotides long. Lineage: Bacteria; Bacillati; Bacillota; Clostridia; Eubacteriales; Oscillospiraceae. The record is from Rfam.
AUCGGUGUUGAUAGCAAGGAGGUUCCACCCGUUCCCAUUCCGAACACGGAAGUUAAGCUCCUUUACGCCUAAGAUACUUGGUCGGUGACGACCUGGGAAAAUUGGAAAAUGCCGAUA